RNAcentral lists this ribosomal RNA (504 nucleotides) under uncultured bacterium. Its description in RNAcentral is "partial 16S ribosomal RNA". It matches the Rfam family "Bacterial small subunit ribosomal RNA", at positions 28 to 506 of the family's 1533-position model. The record is from RNAcentral.
GACGAACGCUGGCGGCGUGCCUAAUACAUGCAAGUAGAACGCACAGUUUAUACCGUAGCUUGCUCCACCAUAGACUGUGAGUUGCGAACGGGUGAGUAACGCGUAGGUAACCUGCCUGGUAGCGGGGGAUAACUAUUGGAAACGAUAGCUAAUACCGCAUAAUAUUAAUUAUUGCAUGAUAAUUAAUUGAAAGGUGCAAUUGCACCACUACCAGAUGGACCUGCGUUGUAUUAGCUAGUAGGUGAGGUAACGGCUCACCUAGGCGACGAUACAUAGCCGACCUGAGAGGGUGAUCGGCCACACGGGGACUGAGACACGGCCCAGACUCCUACGGGAGGCAGCAGUAGGGAAUCUUCGGCAAUGGACGAAAGUCUAACCGAGCAAAGCCGCGUGAGUGAAGAAGGUGUUCGGAUCGUAAAGCUAUGUUGUAAGAGAAGAACGGGUGUGAGAGUGGAAAGUUCACAAUGUGACGGUAUCUUACCAGAAAGGGAGGGCUAACUACGG